RNAcentral lists this transfer RNA (140 nucleotides) under Fusarium piperis. Its description in RNAcentral is "tRNA-Cys". It matches the Rfam family "tRNA". Rfam says of the family: Transfer RNA (tRNA) molecules are approximately 80 nucleotides in length. The record is from RNAcentral. Lineage: Eukaryota; Fungi; Ascomycota; Sordariomycetes; Hypocreales; Nectriaceae.
GGGGGGCUGGCGCAACGGUAGCGCGGUAAGUCACAGCAAAGUGAUCCAUCUCCUCCAACAUGCAACUAAUUCCCUCAUUAGUCAGAUUCCAGUACACCGGAAUCUCCUGAAGGUUAAGGGUUCAAAUCCCUUGUCCCUCA